RNAcentral lists this transfer RNA (76 nucleotides) under Clostridiales bacterium. RNAcentral's name for it is "tRNA-Lys". It matches the Rfam family "tRNA". From Rfam's summary of the family: Transfer RNA (tRNA) molecules are approximately 80 nucleotides in length. Their secondary structure includes four short double-helical elements and three loops (D, anti-codon, and T loops). The record is from RNAcentral. Lineage: Bacteria; Bacillati; Bacillota; Clostridia; Eubacteriales.
GACCCAUUAGCUCAGCCGGUAGAGCACGUGACUUUUAAUCACGGUGUCCCGCGUUCGAUCCGCGGAUGGGUCACCA